GAAUAAAUGCUCAGUCAUGUGAGGAGACAAAAUGAACUUGGAUUGGAUCAACAAUAGUAGAAUGACAUCAUCUCUAAAUCAAAGACAACAGUGUUGCAGAUCCUCUGUGAAGGAGGAGGCCUGUCUGAUGGGGCCAUCCAUCCACCUGUGGUUGUUUUCCAACCAGUAGAUCCAGAGAUAUGGGUGUAGACGACAUCGGAGGUGAUGGACUUAUGAGGAAGAGCAGGACCAGACCCCAGAUCCCAGAUCCCAGAUCCCAGACCCCAGACCACACCCUCCCACAAAAAGUCAAAAUGACCCCUCUGGAACCUGAAACUGUAACUGCAAUAAAGCGCAUAAACUUCAUCUUUUUCUUCUGUUUUUGUAAAAGAACUGAUAUGAAGGUUUGGUUGGUUUUAUAGAACAUGUAGUUUCACAGGUGGAUUGUACCUCACUGAUCUAGUGGUUCGUAGUGGAAGAUGGUGUUUAACCCUCAGGGGUCUGUCAAAACUCCUGAUUUGGCCUUUAUAUAGCAUAAAAAAUGUUAACCAUACCCAUGUUUGGAAUAGUUUUUCAGCACUAUUUCACUGUAUGAUCUGAUGAUUCUUUUACAUUUUAUCUUAUUUAACAUAUUGGACCCAAAAUUACACAAUAAUAAUUGAAUAUAAUUUGAAAAAAAUAUAGUAUUUAUUACAAUGAAAUCCACAAUCAUGGUCAAUGCUCUGUUUUGGAAGUUGAAAGAGUAAAGCAGGUUUCUAUAUUAACCUAUAAAGGUGUCUAUUUAUCUAUUCAUCAUAUCUCCAGGUUUACAAGGUCGAUUAAUCUCAAA
This is a long non-coding RNA of Sphaeramia orbicularis (orbiculate cardinalfish), 808 nucleotides long. RefSeq lists it as uncharacterized. The record is from RefSeq and is a predicted model, not a curated record. The transcript has 3 exons. Lineage: Eukaryota; Metazoa; Chordata; Actinopteri; Kurtiformes; Apogonidae.